GUCCACAACUUCACGUCACUUCAAAUAUACCACCCGAGCCACAUACCUUUUAUCACACUGCUGCUGAGCCAUUCCUGCCAGACCAUACCGUUCAAACCAAGCCAGAAAUGGGGGAAUCUUCCGCUCCCGUUGAUAUAAAGCUACUCAAACGCCUUGACCGUUUUGAUGAGUUUAUGAGAAAGAGUCAGGGGUUGAACAAGCAAGGAGUCCUGGAUUACGAUGAGCUUUGUCUCUUUCCAAAUGUGCAAUUGCCUGAGGGGUUCAAAACCCCUAAGUUUAACAAGUACGAUGGGACGGAUAAUCCCAAGACACACCUCCG
This 319-nucleotide long non-coding RNA is filed under the name Coffea arabica (coffee). RNAcentral describes it as "long non-coding RNA (CARA_LNC002575)". Lineage: Eukaryota; Viridiplantae; Streptophyta; Magnoliopsida; Gentianales; Rubiaceae. The record is from RNAcentral.